Molecule: long non-coding RNA, 688 nt
Organism: Vicia villosa (hairy vetch)
Lineage: Eukaryota; Viridiplantae; Streptophyta; Magnoliopsida; Fabales; Fabaceae
Exons: 3
Source: RefSeq, a predicted model, not a curated record
GUAUUUAUGGAUGUGUGUUGGAAUGAUAAACCCUAGCAGCCAUAUGCAACAACAUCCAAGCAACAACACGGCACAACUUCCUACCACACUAACCUUUCAACUUCUCACGUCUCUCUUUUUCUUCUCCCUCUUUCUGUUUUUCCUCAUUCACUCUCUUCAUCCCUCCAGAUUUCGUUUUCCUCCAUCAUUUUCCUUUUUCCACAGAUUUUGUUUAUUCAGACUGUUUCCUCCAUAGAAGAAAUGAUAUGCUUGAAAAGAAGGGUCUCAAAUCCCCUCCAGAUUUCGUUUUCUCUAUCAUACUGCUUCUCAUCAUUAUUCAGUUCACGAAGAAUAAGACGUAGAUCUGUUUAUGGGUUGUGGUUUUGAUUUCAAGUGAAGAAGAAAUUAGAAAUCUGCUUGUGGGUUUCAAGUGAAGAAGAAGAUGGAGAUCUGCUUGUGGGUUGUGGAUUCGAUUUCAAGCCAAGAAAAAGAUCUACUGAAGUAAAAGGUUGAUUUAAACUGGAUGCGAUCGUGAACUUCGGUUUUUAUCGAUUUCAUUUGUGCUUAUUUUCUUAUUAGCUUAAAAGAAUAAAAAUUGAUUUGCAAUUAUUUGAUUUAUGAAAAGGUUCAUACUCAAAGUGUGGGUACGAUAAAGAGACAGAGGAAUGGGGACUAAGCCUUCCAAAUGUAGAAGAAACAUGAAGAAAUA